Molecule: ribosomal RNA, 482 nt
Filed under: uncultured bacterium
Lineage: Bacteria
Description: partial 16S ribosomal RNA
Rfam family: Bacterial small subunit ribosomal RNA
Source: RNAcentral
AUUGAACGCUGGCGGCAUGCCUUACACAUGCAAGUCGAACGGUAACAGGUCUUCGGAUGCUGACGAGUGGCGAACGGGUGAGUAAUACAUCGGAACGUGCCCGAUCGUGGGGGAUAACGGAGCGAAAGCUUUGCUAAUACCGCAUACGAUCUACGGAUGAAAGCAGGGGACCGCAAGGCCUUGCGCGGACGGAGCGGCCGAUGGCAGAUUAGGUAGUUGGUGGGAUAAAAGCUUACCAAGCCGACGAUCUGUAGCUGGUCUGAGAGGACGACCAGCCACACUGGGACUGAGACACGGCCCAGACUCCUACGGGAGGCAGCAGUGGGGAAUUUUGGACAAUGGGCGAAAGCCUGAUCCAGCCAUGCCGCGUGCAGGAUGAAGGCCUUCGGGUUGUAAACUGCUUUUGUACGGAACGAAAAGACCCUUUCUAAUAAAGAGGGUCCAUGACGGUACCGUAAGAAUAAGCACCGGCUAACUACGUG